UACGUAGGGUGCGAGCGUUGUCCGGAAUUAUUGGGCGUAAAGAGCUCGUAGGCGGUGUGUCGCGUCGGCCGUGAAAACCUGGGGCUCAACUCUGGGCGUGCGGUCGAUACGGGCAUCACUUGAGUUCGGCAGGGGAGACUGGAAUUCCUGGUGUAGCGGUGAAAUGCGCAGAUAUCAGGAGGAACACCGGUGGCGAAGGCGGGUCUCUGGGCCGAUACUGACGCUGAGGCGCGAAAGCGUGGGGAGCGAACCGG
RNAcentral lists this ribosomal RNA (254 nucleotides) under uncultured bacterium. RNAcentral's name for it is "partial 16S ribosomal RNA". It matches the Rfam family "Bacterial small subunit ribosomal RNA", at positions 524 to 776 of the family's 1533-position model. The record is from RNAcentral.